RNAcentral lists this ribosomal RNA (448 nucleotides) under uncultured bacterium. RNAcentral's name for it is "SSU rRNA". It matches the Rfam family "Bacterial small subunit ribosomal RNA", at positions 26 to 518 of the family's 1533-position model. The record is from RNAcentral.
AGAGCGAACGCUGGCGGCAGGCUUAACACAUGCAAGUCGAGCGGGCGUAGCAAUACGUCAGCGGCAGACGGGUGAGUAACGCGUGGGAACAUACCUUUUGGUUCGGAACAACACAGGGAAACUUGUGCUAAUACCGGAUAAGCCCUUACGGGGAAAGAUUUAUCGCCGAAAGAUUGGCCCGCGUCUGAUUAGCUAGUUGGUGAGGUAACGGCUCACCAAGGCGACGAUCAGUAGCUGGUCUGAGAGGAUGAUCAGCCACAUUGGGACUGAGACACGGCCCAAACUCCUACGGGAGGCAGCAGUGGGGAAUAUUGGACAAAUGGGCGCAAGCCUGAUCCAGCCAUGCCGCGUGAGUGAUGAAGGCCCUAGGGUUGUAAAGCUCUUUUGUGCGGGAAGAUAAUGACGGUACGCAAGAAAUAAGCCCGGCUAACUUCGUGCCAGCAGCCGC